UUGAAUUAGCCAAGAGCGAGGUCGAGCGCGGGCCAGGCCUAUGUAGGGGACCCUCCCUCGUCAGGGCAAAGGGGCUGCCCCCUUCCCUGGCAGCCCCACACCACGCAGACAGGCAGAGAGCCUGCGUAGUGCCUGCCCGCAGAGCGGCCUCUUCCCCAGUGCGCUGGGGUGCAGGGGCGCCAGAGGCUUCCGCCCUGAUGUCUCUGAGGCGUUCACACACCCUUGCCCACGAACAGACCUGUGUGCCCUGUGCCUAGGAGCGUGCAGGGGAGCCAUGCCCAUCUCCACCCCCAUGCCUGCCUGCCUCCUCACCCAAGCCAAAACACACAUGCCUGCGUGCCCAUGCCUGCUGCCCACCCAUGCCCACCUACAUGCAUAUGCCUGCUCACUCAUACCCAUCUGCCUGCUCACCCUUGUGCACAUACACCAAUGCUCCUCAGCAUAGGGGGCAGCAACAUGUGCUCUGGCAUGCCUUGUGCAAGUGGAAACACAGCAGGGGGUGUGUGGGGUUUUCAGCAAGCCAUGAAGUCGAUGCACCAUCCCUCUUGCUUUGUCAGAGCUGCCUUUUGACUCCCACAAAGAGAGGCUCUGCCCUGCAGGCCUGUGCCUCUGUCAGGGAAGUCACUGCAGUACCAGCGCAACAAGCUAGAUAUAACACAGAGAAUCAGGCUCUUUGUGACAAGACUGCUCCCCUACUUGCUCCAUGACCUCCUGUGUGAAUGUGGAAUGAGGAUCCUGGGCACCCAUAACAAUAGCUGGCAAUUCCGUAAAGUCUCGGAGCUGCCUCGUGGGCAAGUGUCUGCUCAUCACCAUUCACCAACAGGAUCCUCUUCUCAGGUGGCUGCUCCUCAGGCUGGCGGGCGAUCAGUAGGCGGCAAGUGAGCAGGAUCCCAAAGACCAGGGC
Molecule: long non-coding RNA, 904 nt
Organism: Mauremys mutica (yellowpond turtle)
Lineage: Eukaryota; Metazoa; Chordata; Testudines; Geoemydidae
Exons: 3
Source: RefSeq, a predicted model, not a curated record